GAGCGGGCGUAGCAAUACGUCAGCGGCAGACGGGUGAGUAACGCGUGGGAACGUACCUUUUGGUUCGGAACAACACAGGGAAACUUGUGCUAAUACCGAAUAAGCCCUUACGGGGAAAGAUUUAUCGCCGAAAGAUCGGCCCGCGUCUGAUUAGCUUGUUGGUGAGGUAACGGCUCACCAAGGCGACGAUCAGUAGCUGGUCUGAGAGGAUGAUCAGCCACAUUGGGACUGAGACACGGCCCAAACUCCUACGGGAGGCAGCAGUGGGGAAUAUUGGACAAUGGGCGAAAGCCUGAUCCAGCCAUGCCGCGUGAGUGAUGAAGGCCCUAAGGUUG
Molecule: ribosomal RNA, 335 nt
Filed under: Afipia sp. ERB3-6
Lineage: Bacteria; Pseudomonadati; Pseudomonadota; Alphaproteobacteria; Hyphomicrobiales; Nitrobacteraceae
Description: bacterial SSU rRNA
Rfam family: Bacterial small subunit ribosomal RNA
Source: RNAcentral